RNAcentral lists this ribosomal RNA (915 nucleotides) under uncultured marine archaeon. RNAcentral describes it as "bacterial SSU rRNA". It matches the Rfam family "Archaeal small subunit ribosomal RNA", at positions 1 to 922 of the family's 1478-position model. The record is from RNAcentral.
UUCCGGUUGAUCCCGCCGGACCUGACUGCUAUCGGAUUGAUACUAAGCCAUGCGAGUCUUUGUAGUAAUACAAGGCAGACGGCUCAGUAACACGUAGUCAACCUACCCUAUGGACAAGAAUAAUCUCGGGAAACUGGGCAUAAUUCUUGAUAGAUCAUAAUGCCUGGAAUGGUUUAUGGUUAAAAUGAUUCGUCGCCAUAGGAUGGGACUGCGGCCUAUCAGCUUGUUGGUGAGGUAAUGGCCCACCAAGGCGAUUACAGGUACGGGCUCUGAGAGGAGAAGCCCGGAGAUGGGUACUGAGACACGGACCCAGGCCCUAUGGGGCGCAGCAGGCGAGAAAACUUUGCAAUGUGCGAAAGCACGACAAGGUUAAUCCGAGUGAUUUCUGCUAAAGAAAUCUUUUACCAGUCGUAAAACCGCUGGUGAAUAAGGGGUGGGCAAGUUCUGGUGUCAGCCGCCGCGGUAAAACCAGCACCUCAAGUGGUCAGGAUGAUUAUUGGGCCUAAAGCAUCCGUAGCCGGCUUUGUAAGUUUUCGGUUAAAUCCAUGUGCUCAACGCAUGGGCUGCCGAAAAUACUGCAUAGCUAGGGAGUGGAAGAGGUAGACGGUACUCAGUAGGUAGGGGUAAAAUCCUUUGAUCUAUUGAUGACCACCUGUGGCGAAGGCGGUCUACCAGAACACGUUCGACGGUGAGGGAUGAAAGCUGGGGGAGCAAACCGGAUUAGAUACCCGGGUAGUCCCAGCUGUAAACGAUGCAGACUCGAUGAUGCAUUGGCAUAAUAGCCAUUGCAGUGUCGCAGGGAAGCCGUUAAGUCUGCCGCCUGGGAAGUACGUACGCAAGUAUGAAACUUAAAGGAAUUGGCGGGGGAGCACCACAAGGGGUGAAGCCUGCGGUUCAAUUGGAGUCAACGCCGGG